AUGGGAAAUGAGUCUCUCUCUUAUCUGUCCUGUUGUAGAUUUACUGUGCUGUGCUUUUGCUUGGGCUUCAUCUUAAACUCAUCUGACAAGAAACCAUGCUUGUGUAACAAACACAAACGACUUCUGAGUUUGGUUUUACUCUAUGGUGCAGUGGGAACUUGCCAAUGCUAAUGAUACAAUCCAAGGGUAAAUAUCUAGGUAUUUUUUAUAAUUCUUAGUCUUUCAUAAUUGGUCCACCUCCAACUAAUGACA
This 252-nucleotide long non-coding RNA is filed under the name Aotus nancymaae (Ma's night monkey). RNAcentral describes it as "lncRNA (ENSANAG00000039142.1)". The record is from RNAcentral. Lineage: Eukaryota; Metazoa; Chordata; Mammalia; Primates; Aotidae.